GCUGGGUGAGGUGGUGCCCGCCUGUAAUCCCAGUGGCAUGGGAGGCUGAGAGAGGAGGAUUGCAAAGUCAAAGCCAGCCUUAGCAAAAGUGAGUCCCUGAGUAAUUCUGGGAGACCCUGGCUCUA
Molecule: small RNA, 125 nt
Filed under: Marmota monax (woodchuck)
Lineage: Eukaryota; Metazoa; Chordata; Mammalia; Rodentia; Sciuridae
Source: RNAcentral